This 253-nucleotide ribosomal RNA is filed under the name uncultured bacterium. Its description in RNAcentral is "partial 16S ribosomal RNA". It matches the Rfam family "Bacterial small subunit ribosomal RNA", at positions 524 to 776 of the family's 1533-position model. The record is from RNAcentral.
UACGUAGGUGGCAAGCUUUGUCCGGAUUUACUGGGCGUAAAGAGCGCGCAGGCGGUCGGAUAAGUCGAAUGUGAAAGCCCCCGGCUCAACUGGGGAGGGUCAUUCGAUACUGUUCGACUCGAAGGCAGGAGAGGGAAGUGGAAUUCCCGGUGUAGUGGUGAAAUGCGUAGAUAUCGGGAGGAACACCAGUGGCGAAGGCGACUUCCUGGCCUGUUCUUGACGCUGAGGCGCGAAAGCUAGGGGAGCAAACGGG